RNAcentral lists this unclassified non-coding RNA (219 nucleotides) under Hevea brasiliensis (rubber tree). Lineage: Eukaryota; Viridiplantae; Streptophyta; Magnoliopsida; Malpighiales; Euphorbiaceae. The record is from RNAcentral.
CCUAAUUCUUCAAAUCCCUUCCCUCUCAUAAACCUUAAUUCUACAUUUCUACUCUUCUCCUCUCUUUCUCUCCAAAACCCUUGACCCAACCAUGUACCUUUACAGUCUUACGCUGCAACGAGCGACCGGCAUCGUCUCCGCAAUCAACGGCAGUUUUUCCGGCGGCAAGACCCAAGAAAUUGUAGUAGCUCGUGGAAAGGUACUUGAUCUACUCCGCCC